This 254-nucleotide ribosomal RNA is filed under the name uncultured bacterium. Its description in RNAcentral is "partial 16S ribosomal RNA". It matches the Rfam family "Bacterial small subunit ribosomal RNA", at positions 524 to 776 of the family's 1533-position model. The record is from RNAcentral.
UACGGAGGAUCCAAGCGUUAUCCGGAUUUAUUGGGUUUAAAGGAAGCGUAGGCGGCCUGUUAAGUCAGGGGUGAAAGACGGUGGCUCAACCAUCGCAGUGCCCUUGAUACUGAUGGGCUUGAAUGUAGUUGAGGUAGGCGGAAUGUGACAAGUAGCGGUGAAAUGCAUAGAUAUGUCACAGAACACCGAUUGCGAAGGCAGCUUACUAAAACUAUGAUUGACGCUGAGGCUCGAAAGCGUGGGGAUCAAACAGG